UACAGAGGUCCCAAGCGUUGUUCGGAUUUACUGGGCGUAAAGGGUGCGUAGGUGGCGAGGUAAGUCGGAUGUGAAAUCUCCAGGCUCAACCUGGAAACGGCAUUGGAAACUACCUUGCUAGAGGAUCGGAGGGGGGACUGGAAUACUUGGUGUAGCAGUGAAAUGCGUAGAUAUCAAGUGGAACACCAGUGGCGAAGGCGAGUCCCUGGACGAUUCCUGACGCUGAGGCACGAAAGCUAGGGGAGCAAACAGG
RNAcentral lists this ribosomal RNA (253 nucleotides) under uncultured bacterium. RNAcentral's name for it is "partial 16S ribosomal RNA". It matches the Rfam family "Bacterial small subunit ribosomal RNA", at positions 524 to 776 of the family's 1533-position model. The record is from RNAcentral.